Molecule: ribosomal RNA, 230 nt
Filed under: uncultured bacterium
Lineage: Bacteria
Description: partial 16S ribosomal RNA
Rfam family: Bacterial small subunit ribosomal RNA
Source: RNAcentral
GAUCCUGGCUCAGGAUGAACGCUAGCUACAGGCUUAACACAUGCAAGUCGAGGGGCAGCAUGGUCUUAGCUUGCUAAGGCUGAUGGCGACCGGCGCACGGGUGAGUAACACGUAUCCAACCUGCCCAUCACUUGGGAAUAACCUUGCGAAAGUAAGACUAAUGCCCAAUGAUAUCCCACGAAGGCAUCCGAAUGGGAUUAAAGAUUUAUCGGUGAUGGAUGGGGAUGCGU